This 577-nucleotide ribosomal RNA is filed under the name Proteus mirabilis. Its description in RNAcentral is "bacterial LSU rRNA". It matches the Rfam family "Bacterial large subunit ribosomal RNA", at positions 1311 to 1875 of the family's 2925-position model. Lineage: Bacteria; Pseudomonadati; Pseudomonadota; Gammaproteobacteria; Enterobacterales; Morganellaceae. The record is from RNAcentral.
GAUAAUGCGGGUGAAAAACCCGCACGCCGGAAGACCAAGGGUUCCUGUCCAACGUUAAUCGGGGCAGGGUGAGUCGACCCCUAAGGCGAGGCUGAAAAGCGUAGUCGAUAGGAAACGGGUUAAUAUUCCCGUACUGGUGGUAACUGCGAUGGGGGAACGGAGAAGGCUAGGUUGUCCGGGCGACGGUCGUCCCGGUUCAAGCAGGUAGGCAGAGUGAUUAGGCAAAUCCGGUCACUUAUGCUGAGAUGUGAUGACGAACCACCAAGGUGGUGAAGCAAUUGAUGCCCCGCUUCCAGGAAAAGCCUCUAAGCUUCAGGUUACCAACAAUCGUACCCCAAACCGACACAGGUGGUCAGGUAGAGAAUACUCAGGCGCUUGAGAGAACUCGGGUGAAGGAACUAGGCAAAAUGGUGCCGUAACUUCGGGAGAAGGCACGCUGGCGGUAGGUAAAGUCCCUCGCGGACGGCGCUGAAGCCAGUCGAAGAUACCAGCUGGCUGCAACUGUUUAUUAAAAACACAGCACUGUGCAAACACGAAAGUGGACGUAUACGGUGUGACGCCUGCCCGGUGCCGGAAG